AGCAGCCGCGGUAAUUCCAGCUCCAAUAGCGUAUAUUAAAGUUGCUGCAGUUAAAAAGCUCGUAGUUGAAUUUCGGGACCAUCAUGUCGGUCGUGCCUCGGUACGUACUGGCAUUGUUGGUUUCUACCUUCUGACGAACCAUGAUGUCAUUUAUUUGGUGUCGUGGGAAAUCAGGACUGUUACUUUGAAAAAUUAGAGUGUUUAAAGCAGGCUCACGCUUGAAUACAUUAGCAUGGAAUAAUGAAAUAGGACGUUUGAUUCUAUUUUGUUGGUUUCUAGGAUCGACGUAAUGAUUAAUAGGGAUAGUUGGGGGCAUUAGUAUUCAAUUGUCAGAGGUGAAAUUCUUGGAUUUAUUGAAGACUAACUACUGCGAAAGCAUUUGCCAAGGAUGUUUUCAUUAAUCAAGAACGAAAGUUAGGGGAUCGAAGACGAUCAGAUACCGUCGUAGUCUUAACCAUAAACUAUG
RNAcentral lists this unclassified non-coding RNA (466 nucleotides) under uncultured Diversispora. Its description in RNAcentral is "SSU rRNA". It matches the Rfam family "Eukaryotic small subunit ribosomal RNA", at positions 569 to 1041 of the family's 1831-position model. Lineage: Eukaryota; Fungi; Glomeromycota; Glomeromycetes; Diversisporales; Diversisporaceae. The record is from RNAcentral.